This 241-nucleotide ribosomal RNA is filed under the name uncultured Staphylococcus sp. RNAcentral's name for it is "partial 16S ribosomal RNA". It matches the Rfam family "Bacterial small subunit ribosomal RNA", at positions 99 to 334 of the family's 1533-position model. The record is from RNAcentral. Lineage: Bacteria; Bacillati; Bacillota; Bacilli; Caryophanales; Staphylococcaceae.
CGGACGGGUGAGUAACACGUGGAUAACCUACCUAUAAGACUGGGAUAACUUCGGGAAACCGGAGCUAAUACCGGAUAAUAUAUUGAACCGCAUGGUUCAAUAGUGAAAGACGGUUUUGCUGUCACUUAUAGAUGGAUCCGCGCCGCAUUAGCUAGUUGGUAAGGUAACGGCUUACCAAGGUGACGAUGCGUAGCCGACCUGAGAGGGUGAUCGGCCACACUGGAACUGAGACACGGUCCAG